CUGCUCUUCUACAACAGAUUCCCAAGGUGGAGGACAGAGGACACUGAGGUUAUUCAGGGACGGCAGCCAAAACUACUGUGAUUAUGGAACGAAUGGCAACAACAAGGUCUCAUCCUACAUCUGCUAACUUCUUCCCAUAAAUGAAUCCAGUCUUCCUGCCCAUACUUUCUCUUCUUGUUAAAUAGGUGUUGAGUGAGGGCUAAGAAGGGGACAAAGAAUAACGAAGGCGAUAAACAGGAGAUGGCAUACUUCCUACUCUCUAAAAAAGUCUACAGAAGAAGUGUUGAUUUGCUAUCAGAAGGUGACCAGAGAGUGAGAAGAGAAAGAAGUGAAAUUGGAAAGAAAGAAAAUAGUAUGUGAAAUUGUAUGUGAUGCAGUGGCCAACCUGAGCAGCAGGACAGGAC
Molecule: long non-coding RNA, 404 nt
Filed under: Sus scrofa (pig)
Lineage: Eukaryota; Metazoa; Chordata; Mammalia; Artiodactyla; Suidae
Description: lncRNA (ENSSSCG00025024256.1, ENSSSCG00030020691.1, ENSSSCG00070006419.1)
Source: RNAcentral